Molecule: transfer RNA, 90 nt
Filed under: Acetivibrio thermocellus BC1
Lineage: Bacteria; Bacillati; Bacillota; Clostridia; Acetivibrionales; Acetivibrionaceae
Description: Hungateiclostridium thermocellum BC1 tRNA-Leu
Rfam family: tRNA
About the family: Transfer RNA (tRNA) molecules are approximately 80 nucleotides in length. Their secondary structure includes four short double-helical elements and three loops (D, anti-codon, and T loops).
Source: RNAcentral
GCCGGAGUGGCGGAACUGGCAGACGCACAGGACUUAAAAUCCUGGGGGACUUAUCCUCCCGUACCGGUUCGAUUCCGGUCUCCGGCACCA